This 253-nucleotide ribosomal RNA is filed under the name uncultured bacterium. RNAcentral's name for it is "partial 16S ribosomal RNA". It matches the Rfam family "Bacterial small subunit ribosomal RNA", at positions 524 to 776 of the family's 1533-position model. The record is from RNAcentral.
UACGUAGGGGGCAAGCGUUGUCCGGAAUCAUUGGGCGUAAAGCGCGUGUAGGCGGAUAGGUAAGUCCGUGGUGAAAUCCUGCAGCUUAACUGCAGAACUGCCGUGGAUACUAUCUAUCUUGAAUGUCGUGGAGGUUAGCGGAAUAUGUCAUGUAGCGGUGAAAUGCUUAGAUAUGACAUAGAACACCCAUUGCGAAGGCAGCUAACUACGCGAUAAUUGACGCUGAUGCACGAAAGCGUGGGGAUCAAACAGG